This 689-nucleotide ribosomal RNA is filed under the name uncultured Bacteroides sp. Its description in RNAcentral is "bacterial SSU rRNA". It matches the Rfam family "Bacterial small subunit ribosomal RNA", at positions 32 to 715 of the family's 1533-position model. The record is from RNAcentral. Lineage: Bacteria; Pseudomonadati; Bacteroidota; Bacteroidia; Bacteroidales; Bacteroidaceae.
AACGCUAGCUACAGGCUUAACACAUGCAAGUCGAGGGGCAGCGCAGUGUAGCAAUACAUGGGCGGCGACCGGCGCACGGGUGCGUAACGCGUAUCCAACCUUCCCGUUACUCAGGGAUAGCCUUCCGAAAGGGAGAUUAAUACCUGAUGGUGUUUGAAUUCCGCAUGUUAUUCAAACUAAAGAUUUAUCGGUAACGGAUGGGGAUGCGUGACAUUAGAUAGUAGGCGGGGUAACGGCUCACCAAGCCUACGAUGUCUAGGGGUUCUGAGAGGAAGGUCCCCCACACUGGAACUGAGACACGGUCCAGACUCCUACGGGAGGCAGCAGUGAGGAAUAUUGGUCAAUGGACGAGAGUCUGAACCAGCCAAGUAGCGUGCAGGACGACGGCCCUCUGGGUUGUAAACUGCUUUUAGUUGGGAAUAAAAAGAGGGACGUGUCCCUAAUUGUAUGUACCAUCAGAAAAAGGACCGGCUAAUUCCGUGCCAGCAGCCGCGGUAAUACGGAAGGUCCAGGCGUUAUCCGGAUUUAUUGGGUUUAAAGGGAGCGUAGGCGGGUCAUUAAGUCAGUCGUCAAAGCCUGUGGCUCAACCACAGCCCGCGAUUGAUACUGGUGACCUUGAGUGCGGAUGAGGUGGAUGGAAUUCGUGGUGUAGCGGUGAAAUGCUUAGAUAUCACGAAGAACUCCGAUUG